RNAcentral lists this ribosomal RNA (300 nucleotides) under uncultured Staphylothermus sp. RNAcentral describes it as "bacterial SSU rRNA". The stretch from base 52 to 300 matches the Rfam family "Bacterial small subunit ribosomal RNA", at positions 547 to 795 of the family's 1533-position model. The record is from RNAcentral. Lineage: Archaea; Thermoproteati; Thermoproteota; Thermoprotei; Desulfurococcales; Desulfurococcaceae.
GGGAUCGGUGGGCGCGCGGCGGGGGGAAUGCGAAGGGGGCAAGGGUGGUUCGGAUUGACUGGGGUGACAGGGAGGGUAGGCGGGUGGGGAAGCCCUGCGUGAAAGCUCCGGGCCUAACCCGGAAAGUGCGGAGGGGACUGCUCGGCUAGAGGAUGGGAGAGGAGCGCGGAAUUCCCGGUGUAGCGGUGAAAUGCGUAGAGAUCGGGAGGAAGGCCGGUGGCGAAGGCGGCGCUCUGGAACAUUUCUGACGCUGAGGCUCGAAAGCGUGGGGAGCAAACAGGAUUAGAUACCCCAGUAGUC